This 431-nucleotide long non-coding RNA is filed under the name Oryza brachyantha (malo sina). RNAcentral's name for it is "long non-coding RNA (OBRA_LNC003317)". Lineage: Eukaryota; Viridiplantae; Streptophyta; Magnoliopsida; Poales; Poaceae. The record is from RNAcentral.
UCUUGUGGAAGCACCUCAAAGUACUCUUUUUCCACUAAAGACCCUCACUUCAUUCGAUUCCAGAUCAACAGGAAUGGGCUCCAAUGGUUUCCUUCCUAGCCGCACCAUUGCCGAUCACAACCUGACACCUACAUAGCCGCCCGCUCACAACAUCAUGGCUGCUAUGUGCGGCCACUAGCCAAUGUAGAUCAUUGUAACCCCAAUAACAUCGACAUCGUCAUGGACCUGACCCAACCACUGUCCCUUUGCUGUGGAAAUGUGCUGGCAUGGCGAUGAGAGAAAGGAGAACCUGAGCUAGAGGUGACACCUUAGAGAUGUUAUGCUCAGCUGAUGGUUUCAGAUUCAGCAAGAAGAUGUUGUGAUCUAUCGUCACCAUGGCCCAGCAGGGAUGCAAAAGGAUGUUGAUGCAGUGAGCUAGAAACUCCUGAUGC